This 469-nucleotide ribosomal RNA is filed under the name Thymops birsteini. RNAcentral describes it as "eukaryotic LSU rRNA". It matches the Rfam family "Eukaryotic large subunit ribosomal RNA", at positions 1137 to 1571 of the family's 3401-position model. The record is from RNAcentral. Lineage: Eukaryota; Metazoa; Arthropoda; Malacostraca; Decapoda; Nephropidae.
UUGGUAAGCAGAACUGGCGCUGUGGGAUGAACCAAACGUCGAGUUAAGGGGCCUAAAUGAAUGCUCAUUCAGAUCCCAUUGAAAGGCGUUGGUUGCUAUAGACAGCAGGACGGUGGCCAUGGAAGUUGGAAUCCGCUAAGGAGUGUGUAACAACUCACCUGCCGAAGCAACUAGCCCUUAAAAUGGUAUGGCGCUGAAGCAUUCUCCCGAUACUCGACCGCCGGGCGCACUACCGGCCCCGCUCUCCAAGGCGAGGUCUCGAAGCCCCGGUGAGUAGGAGGGUCGCAGUGGUGAGCGCUGAAGGGUUCCGGCGUGGGCCGGCCUGGAGCCGCCACUGGUGCAGAUCUUGGUGGUAGUAGCAAAUACUCGAGAGAGACUCCCUUGAUGACCGAAGCGGAGAAGGGUUCCAUGUGAACAUCAGUUGGACAUGGGUUAGUCGCUCCUAAGCCCAAGGCGAAAGCCUGAUCCC